This is a long non-coding RNA of Bactrocera tryoni, 886 nucleotides long. RefSeq lists it as uncharacterized. The transcript has 3 exons. Lineage: Eukaryota; Metazoa; Arthropoda; Insecta; Diptera; Tephritidae. The record is from RefSeq and is a predicted model, not a curated record.
AAGGAUGCAUUUAUGUAUGUACAUAUGUAUUAUACAGCAUAAAAGAAAAAUUUUCGAUUCGCUUAUCGUCAUCAAUAUCGCCGAUGUUAAAAUUGUGUUCCCUCCUUAAAUUUUGGCUCUUGGAGCUAUCAACAACAGUGGAUUUUUAAACAGGAAUUGUGCAGCCCACUGUCUCCUUGUUUUAAAGGAAAUGCUCUCAAUUUUGGAAUCCACUCUUUGCAAAUCAAAACGGACAUAAUGGAAGAAGAAAAACAAAUAACAAGAAGACAAUUUUUCACUUGAUCGCGAAUUCCAAAUGUGGUUUGCAAAUGUUUCGAUUAUUGCUCCGUGCGAAAGCAAAUUUCUGUAUCCAAAUAGAAAAGGAGUUUACAGCAUAAAUGCGGUGAUUGCGUGCGAUCAGGAUAUGGUGAUAACCUAUAUAAUAAGGAGCUAGCCACGACUCAUUUGUGUGGAAUAAUAGUUUAGAAAAAACAUAUUUGGAGCAAACAUGCCAAAGAGGCGAUCACAAUUCGGUUUACUUAGGUGAUUCUGGUUGUCCACUGCAAGAGUUUCUAUGGGUGCUUUACCAGAAAUAGCGGAAUCAAAUUUAAAGAAAAACGUGCAAAGGCAAGGAACGUAGUUGAAAGGACAAUUGGAACGAUAAAAUGCCAUAUUCGUUGUAUACUAGGUCCGCGUAAACUACCAUAUCCUCAUAGUAAAGCAACUGUAUGUUGUGCUUUACACAAUACUUGUAAAAAUUAUAAUGUAGAUAAUCCUAAACAAGAAACUUUUCUUGAUAUAGUUGUAGCACUGGAAGCAGUUGAAGGAAACUUCAAAGAAACAGCUACAGAAUGUCGUCGAAAACAAAUUGCGAAUGCAUUGUCAUAGCGUAGUUGCAUCAAUAAAA